GAACGCUGGCGGCGUGCUUAACACAUGCAAGUCGAGCGAGAAAUCUUUAUUUCAAGGCUUCGGCCGAGAAAUAUUGAUGGACAGCGGCAAACGGGUGAGUAACACGUAGAUAAUAUACCCUUUAGCGGGGGAUAACAUCGGGAAACUGGUGCUAAUACCGCAUACGAUCACAUUCUUAUUGAUUGUGAUGAAAGGACUUCGGUUCACUAGAGGAUUAGUCUGCGGUCCAUUAGCUUGUUGGUGGGGUAAAUGCCUACCAAGGCGAUGAUGGAUAGCCGACCUGAAAGGGUGAUCGGCCACACUGGGACUGAGACACGGCCCAGACUCCUACGGGAGGCAGCAGUGGGGAAUUUUGCGCAAUGGACGAAAGUCUGACGCAGCAACGCCGCGUGGAGGACGAAAUCCUUAGGGAUGUAAACUCCUUUCGGGAGGGAAGAAAUGCCCGCUUUAUGCGGGAGCUGACGGUACCUCCAAAAGAAGCACCGGCUAACUCCGUGCCAGCAGCCGGUAAUACGGAGGGUGCAAGCGUUGUCCGGAAUCACUAGGCGUAAAGCGUACGUAGGCGUCUCUGAUAGUCGGUUGUUAAAGCCUCCUGCUUAACGGGAGAAGGUCAAUCGAAACUUCAGAGAUUGAGAAUAGGAGAGGAGAGUGGAAUUCCUGGAGGAGCGGUGAAAUGCGUAGAUUUCAGGGAGAACACCAAUGGCGAAGGCAGCUCUCUGGCCUAUAUCUGACGCUGAGGUACGAAAGCGUGGGUAGCGAACGGGAUUAGAUACCCCGGUAGUCCACGCCGUAAAUGAUGUAUACUAGGUGAUGGGCGUUUUGGUUCAUCGCCGCAGCUAACGCGUUAAGUAUACCGCCUGGGGAGUACGGUCGCAAGACUGAAACUCAAGGGAAUUGACGGGGGCCCGCACAAGCGGUGGAGCAUGUGGUUUAAUUCGACUAUACACGAAGAACCUUACCUGGGCUUGACAUUCUGGUGACCGCUCUGGAAACAGAGUUUUUUCAAUUUAUUUUGGAACAGCAGAACAGGUGCUGCAUGGCUGUCGUCAGCUCGUGUCGUGAGAUGUUGGGUUGAGUCCCGCAACGAGCGCAACCCCUACUCUUAGUUACCAGCGGGUAAUGCCGGGGACUCUAAGAGAACUGCCCAGAACAACUGGGAGGAAGGUGGGGACGACGUCAAGUCAUCAUGGCCCUUAUGUCCAGGGCUACACACGUGCUACAAUGGCUGGUACAAAAGGUCGCGAUCCCGUGAGGGGGAGCAAAUCCAGAAAACCAGCCCCAGUUCGGAUUGCAGGCUGAAACCUGCCUGCAUGAAGUUGGAAUCGCUAGUAAUCGUAGGUCAGCAAUACUACGGUGAAUACGUUCCCGGGCCUUGUACACACCGCCCGUCACACCACGAAAGUCAAUUGUACCAGAAGUCAUUGGGCUUACCUUCUUCGGAAGGAGGCAGAUGCCGAAGGUGUGGUUGGUGAUUGGGGUGAAGUCGUAACAAGGUA
RNAcentral lists this ribosomal RNA (1496 nucleotides) under metagenome. RNAcentral's name for it is "bacterial SSU rRNA". It matches the Rfam family "Bacterial small subunit ribosomal RNA". The record is from RNAcentral.